This 68-nucleotide transfer RNA is filed under the name Leptonycteris nivalis (Mexican long-nosed bat). RNAcentral describes it as "tRNA-Thr". The record is from RNAcentral. Lineage: Eukaryota; Metazoa; Chordata; Mammalia; Chiroptera; Phyllostomidae.
GUCCAUGUAGUAUACUAAUUACACUGGUCUUGUAAACCAGAAAUGGGGAUAACCCACCCCCAUAGACU